UUGAUCAUGGCUCAGGACGAACGCUGGCGGCAUGCCUAAUACAUGCAAGUCGAACGAUGACGUCACUGCUUGCAGUGACUGAUUAGUGGCGAACGGGUGAGUAACACGUGAGGAACUUGCCCAUGAGCGGGGGACAACAUUCGGAAACGGAUGCUAAUACCCCAUAGGUGGAUUGGUCGCAUGACGAAUUCAUUAAAGGUGGCUUUGCUACCACUCAUGGAUAGCCUCGCGGCGUAUUAGCUAGUUGGUAAGGUGAUGGCUUACCAAGGCAGUGAUACGUAGCCGACUUGAGAGGGUGAUCGGCCACACUGGGACUGAGACACGGCCCAGACUCCUACGGGAGGCAGCAGUAGGGAAUCUUCCACAAUGGGUGCAAACCAGAUGGAGCAAUGCCGCGUGAGUGAAGAAGGUCUUCGGAUCGUAAAGCUCUGUUGUUAGAGAAGAACUCGUGCUAGGUAACUACUAGCGCCUUGACGGUAUCUAACCAGAAAGUCACGGCUAACUACGUGCCAGCAGCCGCGGUAAUACGUAGGUGACAAGCGUUGUCCCGGAUUUAUUGUGCGUAAAGGGAGCGCAGGCGGUCUGUUUAUCUAAUGUGAAAGCCACGGCUUAACCGUGGAACGGCAUUGGAAACUGACAGACUU
RNAcentral lists this ribosomal RNA (644 nucleotides) under uncultured Dolosigranulum sp. RNAcentral's name for it is "bacterial SSU rRNA". It matches the Rfam family "Bacterial small subunit ribosomal RNA", at positions 13 to 643 of the family's 1533-position model. The record is from RNAcentral. Lineage: Bacteria; Bacillati; Bacillota; Bacilli; Lactobacillales; Carnobacteriaceae.